Molecule: ribosomal RNA, 1565 nt
Filed under: Lactiplantibacillus plantarum
Lineage: Bacteria; Bacillati; Bacillota; Bacilli; Lactobacillales; Lactobacillaceae
Description: Lactobacillus plantarum partial 16S ribosomal RNA
Rfam family: Bacterial small subunit ribosomal RNA
Source: RNAcentral
AUUAGAGUUUGAUCUUGGCUCAGGACGAACGCUGGCGGCGUGCCUAAUACAUGCAAGUCGAACGAACUCUGGUAUUGAUUGGUGCUUGCAUCAUGAUUUACAUUUGAGUGAGUGGCGAACUGGUGAGUAACACGUGGGAAACCUGCCCAGAAGCGGGGGAUAACACCUGGAAACAGAUGCUAAUACCGCAUAACAACUUGGACCGCAUGGUCCGAGUUUGAAAGAUGGCUUCGGCUAUCACUUUUGGAUGGUCCCGCGGCGUAUUAGCUAGAUGGUGGGGUAACGGCUCACCAUGGCAAUGAUACGUAGCCGACCUGAGAGGGUAAUCGGCCACAUUGGGACUGAGACACGGCCCAAACUCCUACGGGAGGCAGCAGUAGGGAAUCUUCCACAAUGGACGAAAGUCUGAUGGAGCAACGCCGCGUGAGUGAAGAAGGGUUUCGGCUCGUAAAACUCUGUUGUUAAAGAAGAACAUAUCUGAGAGUAACUGUUCAGGUAUUGACGGUAUUUAACCAGAAAGCCACGGCUAACUACGUGCCAGCAGCCGCGGUAAUACGUAGGUGGCAAGCGUUGUCCGGAUUUAUUGGGCGUAAAGCGAGCGCAGGCGGUUUUUUAAGUCUGAUGUGAAAGCCUUCGGCUCAACCGAAGAAGUGCAUCGGAAACUGGGAAACUUGAGUGCAGAAGAGGACAGUGGAACUCCAUGUGUAGCGGUGAAAUGCGUAGAUAUAUGGAAGAACACCAGUGGCGAAGGCGGCUGUCUGGUCUGUAACUGACGCUGAGGCUCGAAAGUAUGGGUAGCAAACAGGAUUAGAUACCCUGGUAGUCCAUACCGUAAACGAUGAAUGCUAAGUGUUGGAGGGUUUCCGCCCUUCAGUGCUGCAGCUAACGCAUUAAGCAUUCCGCCUGGGGAGUACGGCCGCAAGGCUGAAACUCAAAGGAAUUGACGGGGGCCCGCACAAGCGGUGGAGCAUGUGGUUUAAUUCGAAGCUACGCGAAGAACCUUACCAGGUCUCGACAUACUAUGCAAAUCUAAGAGAUUAGACGCUCCCUUCGGGGACAUGGAUACAGGUGGUGCAUGGUUGUCGUCAGCUCGUGUCGUGAGAUGUUGGGUUAAGUCCCGCAACGAGCGCAACCCUUAUUAUCAGUUGCCAGCAUUAAGUUGGGCACUCUGGUGAGACUGCCGGUGACAAACCGGAGGAAGGUGGGGAUGACGUCAAAUCAUCAUGCCCCUUAUGACCUGGGCUACACACGUGCUACAAUGGAUGGUACAACGAGUUGCGAACUCGCGAGAGUAAGCUAAUCUCUUAAAGCCAUUCUCAGUUCGGAUUGUAGGCUGCAACUCGCCUACAUGAAGUCGGAAUCGCUAGUAAUCGCGGAUCAGCAUGCCGCGGUGAAUACGUUCCCGGGCCUUGUACACACCGCCCGUCACACCAUGAGAGUUUGUAACACCCAAAGUCGGUGGGGUAACCUUUUAGGAACCAGCCGCCUAAGGUGGGACAGAUGAUUAGGGUGAAGUCGUAACAAGGUAGCCGUAGGAGAACCUGCGGCUGGAUCACCUCCUUAAU